Molecule: ribosomal RNA, 603 nt
Filed under: uncultured fungus
Lineage: Eukaryota; Fungi
Description: eukaryotic LSU rRNA
Rfam family: 5.8S ribosomal RNA (bases 263-415)
Source: RNAcentral
AAGUCGUAACAAGGUUUCCGUAGGGUGAGCACACAUCCCCCAUUCAACCCCCAGAACCUCAUACUAACCUUUAUUCUUAGUGAACCUGCGGAAGGAUCAUUAAUGAGAAACGGGGCACUACCCACACCCCCGUGAAAGCGGUGCGGUAGGGCUUUGCCCCCUCCUCCCAAACCCCUGUCUACCGACCCCACACACAAACUAAAGUACAAAUACCAAGUCGUCCCUAGCGGGGUGCACUGCCUUAUAAUGUACAAAAAAACAAAACUUUUAACAACGGAUCUCUUGGUUCUGGCAUCGAUGAAGAACGCAGCGAAAUGCGAUAAGUAAUGUGAAUUGCAGAAUUCAGUGAAUCAUCGAGUUUUUGAACGCACACUGCGCCCCUUGGUAGUCCGGGGGCAUGCCCGUUCGAGCGUCAUUUCACCAAUCAGGCCUGGCUUGGCAUUGGGUACCGGGGGCGACCCGGGCCUCAAAAGUCGUCGGCUGGCAAGCUCUGAUCUCAGCGUCGUGAUUAAUCAAAUUCGCUUUGCAGAGGAGUGAGCCGUGCCGGUUAAAUACUAUCUAAAGGUUGACCUCGGAUCGGGUAGGAAUACCCGCUGAACUUAA